Long non-coding RNA from Dendrobium catenatum, 865 nucleotides. RefSeq lists it as uncharacterized. The record is from RefSeq and is a predicted model, not a curated record. The transcript has 7 exons. Lineage: Eukaryota; Viridiplantae; Streptophyta; Magnoliopsida; Asparagales; Orchidaceae.
UGAUCUCGAUCUGUGUGUAAACGAAGAAGAUGGAGAUUUCAAGCUUAAGCCUUGGCUGUAUGCCCUUAGCUUUCUAGGCCUAGGUAAGGACUCGAAUUUGCCGUACCCGAUCAGUUUGAUCAAUGCCCAGCGGAGCGGUACCCAAAGAAUACCUCAGGUGGUAGGCAUUGUCAAAUCCUGUACACCAAAUGGGCUUGGUGAUUUUUUCAUAACACUGAAGGAUCGAACAGGCACAAUUGGCGCAGCUAUCCCCGCAAGGUCCUGUCUGAAGGAAAUAUUUGUAGGGAAAUUUCGGUUGGAUGUGUUUUCAUUCUGAAGCAGGUGGUUGCACUCUGCCCAGCUCGCUCCUCCUGUUAUCUCAAUAUUACACUGAAGAAUGUGGUAAAGUUGAUUGCUAAGGACUGUGGACCUCCGGGAAAACAAAUUAUGCCUCCAUUAACAUUCAAGCAUGGAGUUGAAUGGAAUGGCGAGCAAACGUAUAAUACAAGAAAGAUUGCUAAAAUAACUGCUGAUGGUGAACCUAGAAGAAAUUUGACUAGUGAAAUGACAACCAAUAGCAGAGAGGAAUUCCAUCCUGAAAUUUUGUCUGACAACAUCUUUGCUGCAGCUACCACUGGCAAGCUUUCCACAAGAACGGGUGAAUCUGGAGGACUGAUUUCCAAAGCUUCAGUUAAGGGAUGGACAGAUGAGCAACUAGAGAAGCUAUUCUCUGAUUAUGAGGAUGACCUUGACUUAGUUCGUCCUGCUAUUUGAUUUGCCCAAGAAGUACUGCUGGUAUUCUCAUUAACCAUCAUUCGCAUCAUAAGUUCUCACAGCAUUUUUUUUUUUUUAGUUUUUGUUGUGGCCAAUGGGUUGUUUUAGACCU